UAGCUCAGAUGGUAAAGCAUCUGCCUGAAAUGCAGAAGAGCCCUGGGUUCAAUCCCUGG
This 59-nucleotide transfer RNA is filed under the name Ovis aries (sheep). It matches the Rfam family "tRNA", at positions 8 to 63 of the family's 71-position model. From Rfam's summary of the family: Transfer RNA (tRNA) molecules are approximately 80 nucleotides in length. Their secondary structure includes four short double-helical elements and three loops (D, anti-codon, and T loops). Further hydrogen bonds mediate the characteristic L-shaped molecular structure. tRNAs have two regions of fundamental functional importance: the anti-codon, which is responsible for specific mRNA codon recognition, and the 3' end, to which the tRNAs corresponding amino acid is attached (by aminoacyl-tRNA synthetases). tRNAs cope with the degeneracy of the genetic code in two manners: having more than one tRNA (with a specific anti-codon) for a particular amino acid; and 'wobble' base-pairing, i.e. permitting non-standard base-pairing at the 3rd anti-codon position. Lineage: Eukaryota; Metazoa; Chordata; Mammalia; Artiodactyla; Bovidae. The record is from Rfam by way of RNAcentral.